CCCUUAGAUGUUCUGGGCCGCACGCGCGCUACACUGACUGGUGCAACAAGUGUCGCUCCUUGGCCGAUAGGCCUGGGCAAUCUUUGAACGCCAGUCGUGAUGGGGAUAGAUUCUUGCAAUUUUUGAUCUUCAACGAGGAAUUCCUAGUAAACGCGAGUCAUCAACUCGCAUUGAUUACGUCCCUGCCCUUUGUACACACCGCCCGUCGCUACUACCGAUUGAACGUUUUAGUGAGGUAUUUGGACUGGACCUUCGGAGGUUCGCGCCUCCGUUGCUGUUCGGGAAGACUCCCAAACUUGAGCGUUUAGAGGAAGUAAAAGUCGUAACA
Molecule: ribosomal RNA, 328 nt
Filed under: uncultured eukaryote
Lineage: Eukaryota
Description: partial 18S ribosomal RNA
Rfam family: Eukaryotic small subunit ribosomal RNA
Source: RNAcentral